UCUCUCUGAGCUUCCUCAGGCUUGCCAUAUGGCCAGAAGGAAUCUAUAAAAGCCUGUUUUCCACAAAACUCAUGAAAGGUUUCUACAUGAAGUAGUGUCUAGAUAUUUCAAACUGCAACAAAUACACAGCAUGUGCAUCUGUGGCAGUGAUGAUCCCAAGGUGUAUCAAGGACUAACAUAAUCUUCUCAGGAAGAAGACACAU
This is a long non-coding RNA of Pipra filicauda (Wire-tailed manakin), 203 nucleotides long. RefSeq lists it as uncharacterized. The record is from RefSeq and is a predicted model, not a curated record. The transcript is spliced from 3 exons. NCBI's taxonomy places the organism in Eukaryota, Metazoa, Chordata, Aves, Passeriformes, Pipridae.